RNAcentral lists this ribosomal RNA (323 nucleotides) under uncultured eukaryote. RNAcentral's name for it is "partial 18S ribosomal RNA". It matches the Rfam family "Eukaryotic small subunit ribosomal RNA", at positions 1470 to 1796 of the family's 1831-position model. The record is from RNAcentral.
CCCUUAGAUGUUCUGGGCUGCACGCGUGCUACACUGAUAUUGCCAAUAUGUCAUUCUUAUCCGAAAUGGAUUGGGUAAUCAAGUAAUGAAAUUUCAUGCUUGGAAUCGGUAAUUGCAAUUUUAUCGUGAACGAGGAAUUCCUAGUAAGCACUAGUCAUCAGCUAAUGUUGAUUAUGUCCCUGCCCUUUGUACACACCGCCCGUCGCUACUACUGAUUGGGUGUUCAAGUGAGAUGCUUAGACCCUUGUUGCAUGGUUCAUUAUUGUGCUCCGAAAGGGAAAAGUUUCAAGCUUGAGUGUCUAGAGGAAGUAAAAGUCGUAACA